GAUGAACGCUGGCGGCGUGCUUAACACAUGCAAGUCGAACGAAGCUGCUUAACUGAUCUUCUUCGGAAUUGACGUUUUGUAGACUGAGUGGCGGACGGGUGAGUAACGCGUGGGUAACCUGCCCUGUACAGGGGGAUAACAGUCAGAAAUGACUGCUAAUACCGCAUAAGACCACAGCACCGCAUGGUGCAGGGGUAAAAACUCCGGUGGUACAGGAUGGACCCGCGUCUGAUUAGCUGGUUGGUGAGGUAACGGCUCACCAAGGCGACGAUCAGUAGCCGGCUUGAGAGAGUGAACGGCCACAUUGGGACUGGGACACGGCCCAAACUCCUACGGGAGGCAGCAGUGGGGAAUAUUGCACAAUGGGGGAAACCCUGAUGCAGCGACGCCGCGUGAGUGAAGAAGUAUCUCGGUAUGUAAAGCUCUAUCAGCAGG
Molecule: ribosomal RNA, 435 nt
Filed under: uncultured bacterium
Lineage: Bacteria
Description: bacterial SSU rRNA
Rfam family: Bacterial small subunit ribosomal RNA
Source: RNAcentral